This 822-nucleotide ribosomal RNA is filed under the name Salmonella enterica. RNAcentral's name for it is "partial 23S ribosomal RNA". It matches the Rfam family "Bacterial large subunit ribosomal RNA", at positions 364 to 1190 of the family's 2925-position model. The record is from RNAcentral. Lineage: Bacteria; Pseudomonadati; Pseudomonadota; Gammaproteobacteria; Enterobacterales; Enterobacteriaceae.
GUGACAGCCCCGUACACAAAAGCGCAUGUGCUGUGAGCUCGAUGAGUAGGGCGGGACACGUGAUAUCCUGUCUGAAUAUGGGGGGACCAUCCUCCAAGGCUAAAUACUCCUGACUGACCGAUAGUGAACCAGUACCGUGAGGGAAAGGCGAAAAGAACCCCGGCGAGGGGAGUGAAAAAGAACCUGAAACCGUGUACGUACAAGCAGUGGGAGCACCCUUCGGGGUGUGACUGCGUACCUUUUGUAUAAUGGGUCAGCGACUUAUAUUCUGUAGCAAGGUUAACCGAAUAGGGGAGCCGGAGGGAAACCGAGUCUUAACCGGGCGUUAAGUUGCAGGGUAUAGACCCGAAACCCGGUGAUCUAGCCAUGGGCAGGUUGAAGGUUGGGUAACACUAACUGGAGGACCGAACCGACUAAUGUUGAAAAAUUAGCGGAUGACCUGUGGCUGGGGGUGAAAGGCCAAUCAAACCGGGAGAUAGCUGGUUCUCCCCGAAAGCUAUUUAGGUAGCGCCUCGUGAAUUCAUCUCCGGGGGUAGAGCACUGUUUCGGCUAGGGGGCCAUCCCGGCUUACCAACCCGAUGCAAACUGCGAAUACCGGAGAAUGUUAUCACGGGAGACACACGGCGGGUGCUAACGUCCGUCGUGAAGAGGGAAACAACCCAGACCGCCAGCUAAGGUCCCAAAGUCAUGGUUAAGUGGGAAACGAUGUGGGAAGGCCCAGACAGCCAGGAUGUUGGCUUAGAAGCAGCCAUCAUUUAAAGAAAGCGUAAUAGCUCACUGGUCGAGUCGGCCUGCGCGGAAGAUGUAACGGGGCUAAACCAU